CACAGGAUUCCUAAAAUUGGGCGCCAUGCUUGGAAACAUCAUGGUGGAUCUGCUCAAAUUCGGGGAACGCUCUGGUGUCUAGCCGUGCCAAUCCCGAGCCAAAUAUGCGUCCGCAAGGUAGCAUGGAGGUGUAGAGACUGUACGGGCAGCGCCUGUCGUCCGGUUGUCCGGGCUAUGGUGAAGAGACAGUCCAGACCACGAACGGUGCG
RNAcentral lists this non-coding RNA (209 nucleotides) under Asaia bogorensis NBRC 16594. The record is from RNAcentral. Lineage: Bacteria; Pseudomonadati; Pseudomonadota; Alphaproteobacteria; Acetobacterales; Acetobacteraceae.